GCCUUACCGCCUCCACGGCGUGCUGCAGGAUGGAGGUGAACUUGGAGAACAUCCUGUCCCGCGACUGGAGCAGCCGCUGCCGGGAGGACCGCGAGAGCUCCUCGAUCCGCCGCCGCCGCUCCAGGAGCUUUGAAGGAAUCACAGAACCAUAGGAGAGACGAAGAGGGCUUUACUUCACCUCAAAGCCAAAUAUUUCAGCGGAAAAGGUCAUCCCUGCCAUCUUCCCAUGCUGCAGGAAAAGCAGAGAUACCAUUUUGGAGCCUGCGUCGCUUCUGAAGAAAAUGUGGAUUUAAGGCACACGUGUUUGAUUAAGGUGUCUAAGAGAACACGAAGAACUUCCUGCAUUCUGGACUUUUGCUUCAGAGAGGUUGAGGAUUUGGAAGGUACAUUUUUGUACCCCAGAAUGAAAACAUGCCAGUAGAGCUAUGCAUAAUAUCUGUUUAUAUUCUGCACAGGAAUUUUUUGUGUUUAUAAUAACCAGAUUGACAUCUAUGUUUUCAGUGAGUACUUGGAUGAAAUAAAGAAUGAAGUGUUAGUGGCUCAGCAUGAUCUCUGCUUUUGAGGAGGGCUAAAGAGAUGUUUCCAAUCAACUUCAUGCUUUCUGAUUCUGGGCUUUAUUAUAGAAAGCAAGAAUUCUGUGCAUUGGAUACUGAAGAGCAUACAGUGGGCUGAAGUGCAAACUAUGCUUCUCCCAAGUUUAAUCAGUGUCUUAUAUGUAGUGUCAUACAUGCUUUUGUUGGCUGUCAUUUUCCGUCAUGAAUUUUCUGGUUGUCUGUGCUCUCAGCUGUGUGCAACACCUCCCUCCUUGUUGAUUUGCUAGUGGCACCACGUAAUCAGCUCAUGCAGUAUUUCUUUAAAUCCCAUUUUCAGGCAUUUCCUGAUCUGUGCACCCUGCUCCACAUCUGCACGUCUGCUCCUUCUGUAGAGACAUUAAUUUGUUUUCUAAUGGGUUAAAACUUCCUAGUCAUUAACCUAUUGUGCAGUUGCUUACCAGUCACAUCUGCAAGUCUUUUUACGCGUCACUCAUUGCUACUGUGGAAGACACGAUACUGGGCUGGAUGGACAAAUCCGUGUGCCCAGUAGGCUAUUUCUUAGGCUAUGUCUUAUGUUCGUACUUCAGUUACACUGUCUGUACUACCCUGCUUUAGCUUAUAUAAUGGGUUGUUAAGGAGACCACAAGGAGGUCAGAAGUACGCUUUGUCAGUGAAAUGAGACAUUUCUUUUCCAAACACAUCAUGUUUUCCUCAAAUGUUUCUAUUCCCCUGGAAGUGUUAUAAUCCAAGCUUUCCUCUAGAAGUAAAUAUAUGAAUGUUCUGCCAUAGGGUAUCUGCAAUA
Chroicocephalus ridibundus (black-headed gull) is the source of this 1335-nucleotide long non-coding RNA. RefSeq lists it as uncharacterized. NCBI's taxonomy places the organism in Eukaryota, Metazoa, Chordata, Aves, Charadriiformes, Laridae. The transcript has 4 exons. The record is from RefSeq and is a predicted model, not a curated record.